GGGACCGAGAUGUCACUAUGCCAGUGUUGUGCCUUUGAGAGUGUGGCUUGCCGCGACCUAACGCGUUAAAUUCGACCGCCUGGGGAGUACGGCCGCAAGGUUAAAACUCAAAUGAAUUGACGGGGGCCCGCACAAGCGGUGGAGCAUGUGGUUUAAUUCGAUGCAACGCGAAGAACCUUACCUGGCCUUGACAUCCACAGAACUUUCCAGAGAUGGAUUGGUGCCUUCGGGAACUGUGAGACAGGUGCUGCAUGGCUGUCGUCAGCUCGUGUUGUGAAAUGUUGGGUUAAGUCCCGCAACGAGCGCAACCCUUGUCCUUUGUUGCCAGCGGUUUAUGGUGGAACUCAUAGGGAAAUGGCCGUGAACAACUGGAAGAAAGGGGGGAAGAACUUCAAUCCUCCAGGGCCCUUACACCCUGGGCUACCCCCUGGCUACAUGGGUCAGAACAAAAGGAUCCACCUCCCCAAAGCGAACCUAACCCCAAAAAUGCGACCUAAUCCCGAAUGGAAUCCGGCACUUCAACCGCUGAAAUUCGAAAUCGCUAUUAUCCUAGAAUCAAAUGGUCCCGUGAAUUACUUUCCCGGGCCUGGUACACACCGCCCGUCACACCAGGGAGUGGGUUUGCACAGAAAGUAGCUACUCUAACCUUCGGAGGGACUUAACACUUUGUGUGAUUCGACUGGGGGUGAAUCUAAAGGGGGGACACACAAAA
This 712-nucleotide ribosomal RNA is filed under the name Enterobacter sp. Its description in RNAcentral is "bacterial SSU rRNA". The stretch from base 81 to 712 matches the Rfam family "Bacterial small subunit ribosomal RNA", at positions 874 to 1509 of the family's 1533-position model. Lineage: Bacteria; Pseudomonadati; Pseudomonadota; Gammaproteobacteria; Enterobacterales; Enterobacteriaceae. The record is from RNAcentral.